This 457-nucleotide ribosomal RNA is filed under the name uncultured bacterium. RNAcentral describes it as "bacterial SSU rRNA". It matches the Rfam family "Bacterial small subunit ribosomal RNA", at positions 1 to 507 of the family's 1533-position model. The record is from RNAcentral.
AGUAGUUUGAUCAUGGCUCAAGAACGAACGCUGGCGGCAGGCUUAACACAUGCAAGUCGAACGGUUGUAGCAAUACAGCAGUGGCAGACGGGUGAGUAACACGUGGGAACCUUCCUAGGGGUACGGAACAACUCAGGGAAACUUGAGCUAAUACCGUAUACGUCCGUGAGGAGAAAGAUUUAUCGCCCUUAGACGGGCCCGCGUCGGAUUAGCUAGUUGGUGGGGUAACGGCCUACCAAGGCGACGAUCCGUAGCUGAUCUUAGAGGAUGAUCAGCCACACUGGGACUGAGACACGGCCCAGACUCCUACGGGAGGCAGCAGCGGGGAAUCUUGGACAAUGGGCGCAAGCCUGAUCCAGCCAUGCCGCGUGAGUGAAGAAGGUCUUCGGAUUGUAAAGCUCUUUUGCCAGGGACGAUAAUGACGGUACCUGGAGAAUAAGCCCCGGCAGACUUCGUG